CUGAUCUCUACUGUAGUAGGGUUGGAAGGUUAGACAGGUUAGACAGGUGGUAUGUAUCUGAUCUCUACUGUAGUAGGGUUGGAAGGUUAGACAGGUGGUAUGUAUCUGAUCUCUACUGUAGUAGGGUUGGAAGGUUAGACAGGUGGUAUGUAUCUGAUCACUACUGUAGUAGGGUUGGAAGGUUAGACAGGUGGUAUGUAUCUGAUCUCUACUGUAGUAGGGUUGGAAGGUUAGACAGGUGGUAUGUAUCUGAUCUCUACUGUAGUAGGGUUGGAAGGUUAGACAGGUGGUAUGUAUCUGAUCACUACUGUAGUAGGGUUGGAAGGUUAGACAGGUGGUAUGUAUCUGAUCUCUACUGUAGUAGGGUUGGAAGGUUAGACAGGUUGUAUAUAUCUGAUCACUACUGUAGUAGGGCUUCAGUGGGGCAGAGAUGGGAUGAAGACUUUGGUGGUUUUUCUAGGCUCCGAUAUCUUUCGGAAAAAUAACUGGGAGGGUGUAUUGGAGAAAGUGUGUGCCAGACUGUCAAGAUGGAAAUGGGUGCUGCCCCAGCUGUCUUAUAGGGGAAGGGUGCUGGUAGCUAAUAAUCUUGCUUCCUCUACCCUGUGGCACAGACUAAUGAUUUUACAGCCACCAAAGGGUCUAAUACAGGAGCUUCAGAGGACUCUUGUCAAUUUCUUCUGGUCUGGACAACACUGGAUUAAAGCUGCAGCCCUGUACCUGCCACUGCACGGGGGUGGUCAAGGCUUGGUGGACAUUUCCUCUAGGAUCAUGGCUUUCCAGCUUCAAGCAGCCCAGAGAUUGUUGUAUAGAGACGGUUCUAGCUGGGUCGACACAGCCUACAUAUUGAUGAGGAGAGCGGGCUGUUUGGGCUUAGACAAGCACCUUUUCCUCUUAAAGCUGGAAGGGGGUGAUUUGCCUGGCCUGACUCCAUUUUAUGAGUCUGUUAUGCAGGCUUGGAGAGUCUUUGUCAAGUCCCGUAAGGCCGGCACGCCACCAGGAAUGUGGCUUUUUGAAGAGCCUCUUUUUCAUAACACUGCCAUCCAGUCCCGUAUUCUGGGUUCAGCUAGCCUACGUUCAUGCCUGUUAAGCGUGGGUGUACCAAGCUGGGUCAUCUGAUGCGGAGCAGGAGCAGGUCGUUGGAGGAGCUGGGAGAAAGAGCGGGGAUCCGAUCAUCUCCCCGACUGAGGAAGUUCGUCGCUGAGGUCUGUGACUCCUUGCCAGUACUUCAUCUGUAGUAUGUGACUGACACUUCCAAUUCUGAUCGGUGGAAGGAGGGUCUGGAUUAUGUGUUCCCUGCACUGAUUGUUAGUGCUGCGAUGGGGGCAUUUGAAGAGGACGUGGGGACGCUGCUUUCCUUCGAUACCCCGGAGCUGGGGGAGUUCAAGGAGGUGG
This is a long non-coding RNA of Oncorhynchus keta (chum salmon), 1392 nucleotides long. RefSeq lists it as uncharacterized. The transcript is spliced from 3 exons. NCBI's taxonomy places the organism in Eukaryota, Metazoa, Chordata, Actinopteri, Salmoniformes, Salmonidae. The record is from RefSeq and is a predicted model, not a curated record.